AAAACUAUCAUUUGGAGACAGGAGGAAAGACUGAACAGAGAGAAGGAUGAAGGAGGGAUCAAAUACCGGUGUCAAUGGCCGCUGAUCCAAAGAGAGUUUCUACAGCACUUCUGCCAGAGGUCUGGAUGAGGGGGGCCUUCCGCCCUCCCCGAGGUCCUAUCCAGGCCUUUUCAAGGACGACUCGCUGCCACUGCCUUCCCGCCUUUGGGAAGGGACUGUGAGGACCUGAUGGAUGAGGACCCCAUUUUUCCCACAUGUUUGUGCUUGGGAGAGCCCAUUUGACUCCAUAGGCUUCGAUCUAAUAAAAGACCCGUAAUGGACUGAG
Long non-coding RNA from Ornithorhynchus anatinus (platypus), 325 nucleotides. RefSeq lists it as uncharacterized. The record is from RefSeq and is a predicted model, not a curated record. NCBI's taxonomy places the organism in Eukaryota, Metazoa, Chordata, Mammalia, Monotremata, Ornithorhynchidae. The transcript is spliced from 2 exons.